RNAcentral lists this long non-coding RNA (2214 nucleotides) under Marmota monax (woodchuck). Lineage: Eukaryota; Metazoa; Chordata; Mammalia; Rodentia; Sciuridae. The record is from RNAcentral.
GAAACAGCUGGCACUAUGGUUUUCAUUUUUAUUUCCAAAAGAGAGAACAGUUGCACCUAGGUAGAAGCAAGAACGCAUCACCCCAUCUGCCUUUCCUCUCAGCCUUGACUGAAAGUAGUAUUUGCCAUGAAUUUGACAGCUAAAAGGACAAUGUAGUCAUGUCCCUCAUGCUGCUUUGAAAAUCCAUCAUCAUUUUGCCUAUAACCAGGGGAGAUGCUUUGUCUCUCAGCUAGAACACCAGGUCCCCAGGUAAUACAAGGGGACAUCCAUGGCCAUGAUCAUUAAUGCACAAAAUCCCCCUAUGAGAAAAGAGAAAGAUUUGUUGACUUCUGCUCCUGCUCUGAGUAAGACCCUCUGGGGCUCAAAGCCUCCAAUCUGUAGCCCUACAGAGUCUAUGCUGGGACCUGAAGUAUUCAUGGUUCCAACUAAGACCUUUCACCAGAACUGCUUAAGUCAGUCAUGCAGAGCCCUUACUUGCAAGGGCCCACAGUCUGGCAGAGUAAGCAGAUUCACACACAACUAAGUUACCUGGGUGGGGGUUGGGGGAGCUGGCAGGGAGACUUGCCCUUCUGCAUCUGUAAGCUGCUCUACUGGGGAUGGAACAGAAACGAUUUACUGUCAGCCUGUCCCACUCAGAAGCCUUGGCUCUACAAUCUUAGCACUGGUGGGUCUUUUUUCAAAUCAAUAGGAAAUUCUUUCCUAUCAUGGUGGUCCCUGUGGGAGGCCAUGCCUUUAGUCUAACAAACCGCAGCAUGUUUCUGGCUCCUCUUGGGGAAUUGCUGUUCAAACCUACAACAUGGUGGUAGGGAUUCAUUUUUCAACUGAGCCAAGACUUUAGUGAACAGCAUGGGCAAGGAGGACUCAGAAGCAGGAAUAAAGAAGCAUUUUAUCAAUCAAAAGGCUCAUAGACUGCUCUGGAGGCAGGUCCCAGAAGUGACCACUUCCAAAGCAUAUUGGCUGUACAUGGAGGUGAGAGUUGUCUUUGCUUGCGGGUGAGGAUAGUAUAAGUCUGCAGAGAUCCAUAAUGACUCACCACCCCUCUGGCUAUGGAUGAAAGCUGUAUGUCCAUUGCUGGGAAACUCAAUUCCUCAUUCCUGCCCUUAGAUACUAAGAUGAUUCAAGAAAUCCAAGAGCAGCCCCAGGAACACUUUUUAGAGAUAGGGGAUAAGCUCAGUGAAUAGAGGAUUUCCACCUAGUUCCAGAAAUUGCCCAGAAUGUUGGCUUUCUCUGCAUCCCCUCUCCUGUCCUCCAUGCUGCAUGUGGCAGGGGCUUACCCUCCCUCCUGCUGUUGUCUCCUUGUCCCUGGCUCAUCAAGGCACAGUAGAAAAAUUGAUCCAAAUCCUGGCACCAUCACUUACUAGAUGUCUGAUAUCAGGCAAGGAACUUCACCUCUCAGAGCCUUCAUCAAGAGAAUGGGACAAAGCCUACAUUGGAGAUAAUCAGUGUACAUCCCAUGGCACACAGGCAGUCCAUAAAUAUUCAUUCUCUUCCUUUCUUACCCUUGGGCUUCCUUGCAACCCAAUGGCAAAAGCAGCCAGGAGAAUAGGUUCUGAGAGUCUAAUUUAGCAGGGUCUUUUUGCCCUGCAUCUCCCUCCCCAAAUCCUUACCAACACUGUGAACACUGUAGAGCAGUUAGGCCCUUUCCCCAUCUGCAUCUCCUAGCCCUAUGGCUCCCAGCUAAUCCUCAGCAAAAGUGCCCAGCUCAGAGGGAGCCAUGGAUUUGACCUCUCCAGGACGGAAAAGUCUAGAACCUACACAUGAGGGCAAAAUCCAGUGUCCCUGGCUCUGGGCCCCAGAUCUAAGUCUGCUCCCACCUCCUCCAGUUCAGGACAGAGGAUCUCUGCAGAUCUGCCAGCUCCCCUGGAUUUUCUCUAGAAUCUCCCAGGAUGAAUCUUUUAGCAUCGGAACAUGAUCCACCUUUCUUCUCAGAUAUUGGGGAAGGCAUGGGCAUGAAUGCUAGGAAAUAAAUACAAUGCCUUUUAUUUAGACAGCACUUUGAAGUUUACAAAGCCUUUUCAUAGAUGUUAUUUCACUGGCACUAAAUAAAAGCCUGUGGGGCAGGUAUUACCCCCAUUUCUGUUAAGGUAAAUCAAGCUCAGAGAGGUUGAGAAACUUAGCCAAAGUCAUACAACUAGUUAGUGAACUAAUAAACCAAUUCUUCUGCCUGGCAAAGGAAUGUGUCUUCCACUCUGUAGUGGACAGCAGUGGUCUUCC